AUAAAGAAUAAUUAGUGGCAGACGGGUGAGUAACGCAUAGGAAUCUACCUAGUAGUAUGGGAUAGCCACUAGAAAUGGUGGGUAAUACUGUAUAAUCCCUGCGGGGGAAAGAUUUAUCGCUAUUAGAUGAGCCUAUGUUAGAUUAGCUAGUUGGUAGGGUAAAGGCCUACCAAGGCGAUGAUCUAUAGCUGGUCUGAGAGGAUGAUCAGCCACACUGGAACUGAGAUACGGUCCAGACUCCUACGGGAGGCAGCAGUGGGGAAUAUUGGACAAUGGGCGCAAGCCUGAUCCAGCUAUGCCGCGUGAGUGAGGAAGGCCUUAGGGUUGUAAAACUCUUUCAGUAGGGAAGAUAAUGACGGUACCUACAGAAGAAGUCCCGGCAAACUCCGUGCCAGCAGCCGCGGUAAUACGGAGGGGGCAAGCGUUGUUCGGAAUUAUUGGGCGUAAAGGGCAUGUAGGCGGUUCGGUAAGUUAAAGGUGAAAUGCCAGGGCUUAAC
Molecule: ribosomal RNA, 497 nt
Filed under: Anaplasma phagocytophilum
Lineage: Bacteria; Pseudomonadati; Pseudomonadota; Alphaproteobacteria; Rickettsiales; Anaplasmataceae
Description: bacterial SSU rRNA
Rfam family: Bacterial small subunit ribosomal RNA
Source: RNAcentral